RNAcentral lists this ribosomal RNA (104 nucleotides) under uncultured bacterium. Its description in RNAcentral is "partial 16S ribosomal RNA". It matches the Rfam family "Bacterial small subunit ribosomal RNA", at positions 1379 to 1482 of the family's 1533-position model. The record is from RNAcentral.
CCUUGUACACACCGCCCGUCACACCAUGGGAGUUGGAUUCACCCGAAGGCGUUGCGCUAACCGCAAGGAGGCAGGCGACCACGGUGGGUUUAGCGACUGGGGUG